RNAcentral lists this ribosomal RNA (472 nucleotides) under uncultured bacterium. RNAcentral describes it as "partial 16S ribosomal RNA". It matches the Rfam family "Bacterial small subunit ribosomal RNA", at positions 28 to 507 of the family's 1533-position model. The record is from RNAcentral.
GACGAACGCUGGCGGCGUGCUUAACACAUGCAAGUCGAACGCUGAAGCUUGGUGCUUGCACUGGGUGGAUGAGUGGCGAACGGGUGAGUAAUACGUGAGUAACCUGCCCUUGACUCUGGGAUAAGCCUGGGAAACUGGGUCUAAUACUGGAUACGACAUGUCACCGCAUGUUGGUGUGUGGAAAGGGUUUUGCUGUUUUUGGAUGGGCUCACGGCCUAUCAGCUUGUUGGUGGGGUAAUGGCCCACCAAGGCGACGACGGGUAGCCGGCCUGAGAGGGUGACCGGCCACACUGGGACUGAGACACGGCCCAGACUCCUACGGGAGGCAGCAGUGGGGAAUAUUGCACAAUGGGCGGAAGCCUGAUGCAGCGACGCCGCGUGAGGGAUGACGGCCUUCGGGUUGUAAACCUCUUUCAGCACGGAAGAAGCGAAAGUGACGGUACGUGCAGAAGAAGCGCCGGCUAACUACGUG